CCACCAGGGAUGGAAGCAGCAGGAACAAGGAUCCCACCUCCCAGGCAUAAGGUAAGAAGGGAGGGGGGAUAGCAAGUAAUGUUCCCCCACCUCCACCCCCACAAUCACCCACACACAUACAGCACACACACCCUCACAUACAGCACACACAGACAUAUACAGCACCCACAGACAUACACAGCACCUACACACAUACAGCACCCACAGACAUACACAGCACCUACACACACACACCGCACCCACAGACAUACACAGCACCCACACACACACACACUGCACCCACAGACAUACAGCACCUACACACAUACAGCACCCACAGACAUACACAGCACCUACACACAUACAGCACACACAUACAGCAUCCACAGACAUACACAGCACCCACACACAUACAGCACCAAUAGACAUACACAGCACCUACACAUAUACACAGCACCCACAGACAUACAGCACCCACAGACAUACAGCACACACAUAC
Non-coding RNA from Pelobates cultripes (western spadefoot toad), 478 nucleotides. The record is from the annotation of a GenBank genome assembly. Lineage: Eukaryota; Metazoa; Chordata; Amphibia; Anura; Pelobatidae.